UGGGGAAUUUUGGACAAUGGGCGAAAGCCUGAUCCAGCAAUGCCGCGUGUGUGAAGAAGGCCUUCGGGUUGUAAAGCACUUUUGUCCGGAAAGAAAUCCUUGGCUCUAAUACAGUCGGGGGAUGACGGUACCGGAAGAAUAAGCACCGGCUAACUACGUGCCAGCAGCCGCGGUAAUACGUAGGGUGCAAGCGUUAAUCGGAAUUACUGGGCGUAAAGCGUGCGCAGGCGGUUUGCUAAGACCGAUGUGAAAUCCCCGGGCUCAACCUGGGAACUGCAUUGGUGACUGGCAGGCUAGAGUAUGGCAGAGGGGGGUAGAAUUCCACGUGUAGCAGUGAAAUGCGUAGAGAUGUGGAGGAAUACCGAUGGCGAAGGCAGCCCCCUGGGCCAAAUACUGACGCUCAUACACGAAAGCGUGGGGAGCAAACAGGAUUAGAUACCCUGGUAGUCCACGCCCUAAACGAUGUCAACUAGUUGUUGGGGAUUCAUUUCCUUAGUAACGUAGCUAACGCGUGAAGUUGACCGCCUGGGGAGUACGGUCGCAAGAUUAAAACUCAAAUGAAUUGACGGGGU
Molecule: ribosomal RNA, 572 nt
Filed under: uncultured bacterium
Lineage: Bacteria
Description: partial 16S ribosomal RNA
Rfam family: Bacterial small subunit ribosomal RNA
Source: RNAcentral